RNAcentral lists this ribosomal RNA (610 nucleotides) under uncultured bacterium. Its description in RNAcentral is "bacterial SSU rRNA". It matches the Rfam family "Bacterial small subunit ribosomal RNA", at positions 897 to 1510 of the family's 1533-position model. The record is from RNAcentral.
AAACUCAAAGGAAUUGACGGGGGCCCGCACAAGCAGCGGAGCAUGUGGUUUAAUUCGAAGCAACGCGAAGAACCUUACCUAGACUUGACAUCCCUUGCAUAACUCAGAGAUGAGUGAAGUCCUUCGGGACAAGGUGACAGGUGGUGCAUGGUUGUCGUCAGCUCGUGUCGUGAGAUGUUGGGUUAAGUCCCGCAACGAGCGCAACCCUUAUCAUUAGUUGCUACCAUUAAGUUGAGCACUCUAGUGAGACUGCCCGGGUUAACCGGGAGGAAGGUGGGGAUGACGUCAAAUCAUCAUGCCCCUUAUGUCUAGGGCUACACACGUGCUACAAUGGUGAGUACAAAGAGAUGCAAGACCGCAAGGUGGAGCCAAACUCAAAAACUCAUCCCAGUUCGGAUUGUAGGCUGCAACUCGCCUACAUGAAGCCGGAGUUGCUAGUAAUCGCGAAUCAGCAUGUCGCGGUGAAUACGUUCCCGGGCCUUGUACACACCGCCCGUCACACCAUGAGAGUUGGUAACACCCGAAGUCCGUGAGGUAACCGUAAGGAGCCAGCGGCCGAAGGUGGGAUCGAUGAUUGGGGUGAAGUCGUAACAAGGUAGCCGAAUCGAAU